GACGAACGCUGGCGGCGUGCUUAACACAUGCAAGUCGAACGGAAAGGCCCCCAUCUUGGUGGGGGUGCUCGAGUGGCGAACGGGUGAGUAACACGUGGGUGAUCUGCCCUGUACUUCGGGAUAAGCUUGGGAAACUGGGUCUAAUACCGGAUAGGACCAUGGUUUAGUGUCUCAUGGUGGAAAGAUUAUUGUUUUGGUGCAGGAUGAGCUCGCGGCCUAUCAGCUUGUUGGUGGGGUAAUGGCCUACCAAGGCGUCGACGGGUAGCCGGCCUGAGAGGGUGGACGGCCACAUUGGGACUGAGAUACGGCCCAGACUCCUACGGGAGGCAGCAGUGGGGAAUAUUGCACAAUGGGCGCAAGCCGGAUGCAGCGACGCCGCGUGGGGGAUGACGGCCUUCGGGUUGUAAACUCCUUUCGUUAGGGACGAAGCCGCACUUUUUUUGGGUGUGGUGACGGUACCUUUGUUAAGAAGCACCGGCUAACUACGUG
Molecule: ribosomal RNA, 489 nt
Filed under: uncultured bacterium
Lineage: Bacteria
Description: partial 16S ribosomal RNA
Rfam family: Bacterial small subunit ribosomal RNA
Source: RNAcentral